RNAcentral lists this Y RNA (102 nucleotides) under Suricata suricatta (meerkat). RNAcentral's name for it is "Y RNA (ENSSSUG00005010687.1)". It matches the Rfam family "Y RNA". Rfam says of the family: Y RNAs are components of the Ro ribonucleoprotein particle (Ro RNP), in association with Ro60 and La proteins. The record is from Rfam by way of RNAcentral. Lineage: Eukaryota; Metazoa; Chordata; Mammalia; Carnivora; Herpestidae.
GGCUGGUCCAAGAACAGUGGUGUUUACAACGAAUUGAUCGCAGCCUGUUACAGAGGUCUUUGUUCUUUCCCCACGCCCACUGAUUCAUUUGACAAGACUUGA